RNAcentral lists this ribosomal RNA (474 nucleotides) under Ameerega bassleri (pleasing poison frog). RNAcentral's name for it is "partial 16S ribosomal RNA". It matches the Rfam family "Bacterial large subunit ribosomal RNA", at positions 1927 to 2553 of the family's 2925-position model. Lineage: Eukaryota; Metazoa; Chordata; Amphibia; Anura; Dendrobatidae. The record is from RNAcentral.
ACGGCCGCGGUAUCCUAACCGUGCGAAGGUAGCGUAAUCACUUGUUCUUUAAAUGAGGACUAGUAUGAAUGGCCCCACGAGGGCUGCACUGUCUCCUUUUUCUAAUCAAUGAAACUAAUCUCCCCGUGAAGAAGCGGGGAUAAUUCUAUAAGACGAGAAGACCCUAUGGAGCUUUAAACAACUGAAACACUUGCUUUUUCCAUUAACCUCUUCCGAGUUCUUUACUUCACUCAAGCAUUUUUAUUUCUAGUUUUAGGUUGGGGUGACCACGGAGCAAAACUAAACCUCCACGAAGAAAUGAAUACUUUUUAAGCCACAAACUACUUUUUUAAGCAUCAACAAAUUGACCUUCAUUGACCCAAUAUAUUGAUCAACGAACCAAGUUACCCUAGGGAUAACAGCGCAAUCUACUUCAAGAGCUCGUAUCGACAAGUAGGUUUACGACCUCGAUGUUGGAUCAGGGUAUCCUAGUGG